UUAUGUAUUUUGUCUUACUGUCGUCAUUGUCUUAUAAACAGACCAACAUUGCUUAUACCAUUAGUGUUGUGAAUGCUAAAGGGUUAAAUUGUAUGUGUGUGUGUCAUUUAAGAAUUUGAAAAAUGAUAGAAAUUCUUAUUAAUAUUAUUUGUUAAGUAUUUUACUGUGUCCUGGCCUAAUUAAAUACAAAUCAUUUGGAAGUGCAGGAUUAAUAAUUUUGCUUCAGGGUAUUCAAGGAUUAGCAUAUUAGUAGAAAUUUAGAAACAAUUAUAGUCAGAGAGAGAAAGAGAGAGAGAGAGAGAGUUAGUAGGAUAUAAGGAUCAGAGACACUGAACACAGGGGACUAUUGAACCCAGUGGUAAAAGUCGGAAAAAAAAAUAAU
This is a long non-coding RNA of Octopus sinensis (East Asian common octopus), 382 nucleotides long. RefSeq lists it as uncharacterized. The record is from RefSeq and is a predicted model, not a curated record. The transcript is spliced from 2 exons. Lineage: Eukaryota; Metazoa; Mollusca; Cephalopoda; Octopoda; Octopodidae.